GAUGAACGCUGGCGGCGUGCCUAAUACAUGCAAGUCGAGCGAACAGACGAUGAGCUUGCUCCUCUGACGUUAGCGGCGCACGGGUGAGUCACACGUGUAUCCCCCACUUAUAAGACUGGGAUCACUUCGGGACACCGGCGCUAAUACCGGAUAAUAUAUUGAUCCGCAUUGUUCAAUAGUGAAAGACGGUUUUGCUGUCACUUCUAGAUGGAUCCGGGCCUCUUUAGCUAGUUGGUAGGUUACCGGCUUACCACGGCAACCGUGCGUAGCCGAGGUGCGAGGGUGAUCGGGCACAGUGGAGGUGAGAGACGGUCCAGAGUCCUACGGGAGGCAGCAGUAGGGAAGCGAGCGAGCUGGGCGAAAGCCUGACGGAGCAACGCCGCGUGAGUGAUGAAGGGCUGCGGGUCGUAAAACUCUGUUAGUAGGGAAGAACAAAUGUGUAAGUAACGAUGCAUGUCUUGACGGUAUCGAAACAGAAAGCCACGGCUAACUACGG
This 496-nucleotide ribosomal RNA is filed under the name uncultured bacterium. RNAcentral's name for it is "partial 16S ribosomal RNA". It matches the Rfam family "Bacterial small subunit ribosomal RNA", at positions 28 to 506 of the family's 1533-position model. The record is from RNAcentral.